UUAAAAAAAUCAGAGACAUUUAUCUCUUCCUUAGUCUCUUUUCCUCUUCCUUCUUCUGUAUUUCUUCUGAAUCUCAUCGAUUUGAUUCAAGACAUGCAUGUCUCUUCCUGAUUCUCUCCCUUCGUCUUCUUUUUAUUCUCCUGUGACCCACGAAGAAACCGAGUUUCACGCUUACCAUGGAAUCUUUCCGAGUACGAUUACCACCAUGGGAGCGUGUUUGCAUAUGAGAACGUGAGGGAUAGUUCGACUUCCGGAGACACUUGGUCUUGCGUUGUUGUCGUCGCUACCUUCUAUAACCUUUGUUUUUAGCCAGAUCCGAUUUGAAGAAGGUGCAAAAAAGUUUAAAUGAUUUGAUCGCUUUGGUUGAUGAAGUCUGUCCUGCUAAUUUCUUGGGGUGAGGAGUAAAGAUUAGAGUUAUUGGAUGAGUCUUAUAUGGUCCUCGGCGUGAUCCAAGUAAGCUUCUAAUUUCUUGAGAAGAAAUGUGAAAAACUGCACUAUGUGGAAUAUAAUUAUUGAUAUUGGUAGAAC
This is a non-coding RNA of Camelina sativa (false flax), 528 nucleotides long. The record is from RefSeq and is a predicted model, not a curated record. Lineage: Eukaryota; Viridiplantae; Streptophyta; Magnoliopsida; Brassicales; Brassicaceae.